ACCAUAUAGCUAGCCAAAACAGAUUAACUGAACAUAACAUUAUUACACAACACAAACCUAACACCCCUAACAUUAAAACAUUUUGUACCUCUUAGUAUGGGCGACAGAACAGAACCUUUGAGCUAUAGAAAUUAGUACCGCAAGGGAAAGCUGAAAAAGAAAUGAAACAAUUAAUUAAAGUAUAAAAAAGUAGAGACUACCCCUCGUACCUUUCGCAUCAUGAUUUAGCAAGAACAAUUAGGCAAGAAGUCUCUUAGUCUAACUCCCCGAAACUAAAUGAGCUACUUCGGAGCAGCAUAUUAGAGCCAACCCACCUCUGUGGCAAAAGAGGGGGAAGACUCCCAAGUAGAGGUGACAUGCCUACCGAAUUUAGUGAUAGCUGGUUACCCAAAAAAAGAAUCUAAGUUCUGCAUUAAUUUUUCAAUUAAGUGAAUAAAAACCUUUCAUAAAACCAAUUGUAAUAAUUAAUAGUUAUUCAAAAAAGGUACAGCUUUUUUGAACCAAGAAACAACUUUUAUAGGAGGGUAAAGAUUAUAAUCUCUAAGGAAUCACCCUCAGUGGGCCUGAAAGCAGCCAUCUGUAAAGCAAGCGUCUCAGCUCAAGCUAACAAAAACACCAACAAAUUCCCAUAUUCAACUCACAGCCCCCUAAAAAUCUAUUGGGUUAUUUUAUAAAUUUAUAAAAGAAAUUAUGCUAAAAUGAGUAAUAAGGAGCCAAACCCCUCCAACAACACCAGUGUAAGUCAGAAAGAAUUAAAUCGCUGAUAAUUAACCGAUGUCAAAUUGAGACUAUUAUGAUACAAAAAACUAACAAGAAAACCCCAUUUAAAUAAUCGUUAACCCAACACAGGAGUGUUAAAAGGAAAGAUUAAAAGAAAAUAAAGGAACUCGGCAAACACAAACUCCGCCUGUUUACCAAAAACAUCGCCUCUUGCUCUCAACAUGUAUAAGAGGUCCCGCCUGCCCUGUGAUAUUUUUAACGGCCGCGGUAUCUUGACCGUGCGAAGGUAGCGUAAUCACUUGUUUUUUAAUAGAAGGCCCGUAUGAAUGGCAUUACGAGAGUUUAACUGUCUUUAUUCUCCAAUCAAUGAAAUUAAUCUCCUCGUGCAGAAGCGAGGGUACUAACAUAAGACGAGAAGACCCUGUGGAGCUUCAAACACUUAAGUUAUCUUUAAAAAUCAAUACUAAUCCUCGGAUGUAAAUAUUUAAAAAGCCCUAACUUAACUUGCUUUUGGUUGGGGUGACCAAGGAGAAAAACAAAACCUCCUUAUCGAGCGUGUAAUUAAUUACUCAAAAAUUAAAACCACCAUUUUAAUUAAUAGAACAUCUAACGACCAAUGACCCAGGGAGCCUCUCCCUGAUCAAUGAACCAAGUUACCCCAGGGAUAACAGCGCAAUCCUUUCCAAGAGCCCCCAUCACCGAAAGGGUUUACGACCUCGAUGUUGGAUCAGGACAUCCUAAUGGUGUAGCAGCUAUUAAGGGUUCGUUUGUUCAACGAUUAAAGUCCUACGUGAUCUGAGUUCAGACCGGAGCAAUCCAGGUCAGUUUCUAUCUAUGACGGAAUUCUUCCUAGUACGAAAGGACCGGAAAAAUGAAGCCCAUGCUAAAAAGCACGCUUCAACCCAACCUGUUGAAACCAACUCAAACAGGUAAAGGGGGCGCCAUACCCAAGCCAAAGAUAAUGGUUUUU
Molecule: ribosomal RNA, 1690 nt
Filed under: Fluvitrygon signifer (white-rimmed stingray)
Lineage: Eukaryota; Metazoa; Chordata; Chondrichthyes; Myliobatiformes; Dasyatidae
Description: 16S ribosomal RNA
Rfam family: Bacterial large subunit ribosomal RNA
Source: RNAcentral